Molecule: long non-coding RNA, 1000 nt
Filed under: Mytilus galloprovincialis (Mediterranean mussel)
Lineage: Eukaryota; Metazoa; Mollusca; Bivalvia; Mytilida; Mytilidae
Source: RNAcentral
CAUGCGCGGAUGUAAUGUUUAAACUGAUGAUAGAGAUUGCAUCGAAUACAUAUUCACAAAACGAAGUAGAUGUCUAGUAUGAUAUAAUUCAUUGUAUCGAUGGAAGACAAAAUUAGGAAAAAUAUGAAAAAAAUCACGAUAAAUCCGCAAAACUCGGGUUUCAUUUUGUAUAACGUCGGGGUACCCGAAUCGCCUAGUUCGGAGGAUUGUUUCCGAUCAUAGCAGAUAAACUGUUGAAACAUCAUUGUUCGUUUUUAUUUUUGAACAAGUAGACUACACAAGUAUUUUUUACACAUACAUGUAGCAUGUAUACACUUACUGAUUUUUUGCCAGCAACGACAAGGGUAGCGUGAAUCCGGGAUUUUGGAGGGGAACCCAAAUUGCCCAGGCAUGCAGUGGAUAGACUAUACGAGACUUAAGUGCACAAACUUUUUCCGUCUUUUUGAAAAAGCCAAAAACACUUUUCUCUCAUCCCCACAAAAACAAAUCCCAUCAGCAUUGACAGUAAAAUAAAAGGGGUGUCAAUCUGGACACACUGGGACGUUGCACACGGUGAUAUUGCGGCACCCUGGCCAAGAUUUACAGUAAAUGGGAAAACUUUAAAAAAGGACAUUUUGUAUAAAUGAAUAAACCUAGUUUUACAGCUAGCUGCGUAUUUCAUUUGUAUGCAAGUUGCAUUAAAUCUCAUUAAACUGAAUAAAACUUAAAGACACAAUAGGUAAAAGUCAGUGACAAUAAAAGGAAAAGAGCAGUCAACAUAGUGUAACAAUUCGACAUAGUAUAUAAAAAUAUAAAUAACUACGUAGGACAACAGGGUAAUUUAAUAGUCUAACAACCCCUGAUAACAUACAAAGAGAGAAAAAAAAAACAUACUAGGAUACAUAUUCAAAAAAUCAUAACACUAUAACUAACUGGUGGGAUGUAUAAAUACCGAGCCGCGUCAAAGAGUAUUCAUCAAAAUACACAUAGAAAGAAACAGAGGUGAAGGUAAACCUCAAAC